Molecule: ribosomal RNA, 427 nt
Filed under: uncultured bacterium
Lineage: Bacteria
Description: bacterial SSU rRNA
Rfam family: Bacterial small subunit ribosomal RNA
Source: RNAcentral
GUAAGGAAUCUUUCGCAAUGGGGGAAACCCUGACGAAGCAAUACCGCGUGGACGAUGAAGGUCGUAAGAUUGUAAAGUCCUUUUUUGGAGGAAGAAUUCUGACGGUACUCCAAGAAUAAGCACCGGCUAACUCCGUGCCAGCAGCCGCGGUAAUACGGAGGGUGCAAGCGUUACUCGGAAUCAUUGGGCGUAAAGCGUUCGUAGACGGUUAGUUAAGUCGAAUAUUAAAUAUCAAGGCCCAACCUUGAUGCUGUAUUUGAUACUGGCUAACUAGAGUUUUUCAGAGGUAUGUGGAAUUCUGUGUGUAGGGGUUAAAUCCGUUGAUAUACAGAAGAACACCAAAAGCGAAAGCAGCAUACUGGGAAAUUACUGACGUUUAAUGAACGAAAGCGUAGGUAGCGAACGGGAUUAGAAACCCGAGUAGUCC